RNAcentral lists this ribosomal RNA (468 nucleotides) under uncultured bacterium. RNAcentral describes it as "partial 16S ribosomal RNA". It matches the Rfam family "Bacterial small subunit ribosomal RNA", at positions 28 to 507 of the family's 1533-position model. The record is from RNAcentral.
GUCGAACGCUGGCGGCGUGCUUAACACAUGCAAGUCGAACGGAAAGGCCCUGCUUUUGUGGGGUGCUCGAGUGGCGAACGGGUGAGUAACACGUGAGUAACCUGCCCUUGACUUUGGGAUAACUUCAGGAAACUGGGGCUAAUACCGGAUAGGAGCUCCUGCUGCAUGGUGGGGGUUGGAAAGUUUCGGCGGUUGGGGAUGGACUCGCGGCUUAUCAGCUUGUUGGUGGGGUAGUGGCUUACCAAAGCUUUGACGGGUAGCCGGCCUGAGAGGGUGACCGGCCACAUUGGGACUGAGAUACGGCCCAGACUCCUACGGGAGGCAGCAGUGGGGAAUAUUGCACAAUGGGCGGAAGCCUGAUGCAGCAACGCCGCGUGCGGGAUGACGGCCUUCGGGUUGUAAACCGCUUUCGCCUGUGACGAAGCGUGAGUGACGGUAAUGGGUAAAGAAGCACCGGCUAACUACGUG